GUGGCCGCCGUACACCUGCG
Molecule: unclassified non-coding RNA, 20 nt
Filed under: Chlamydomonas reinhardtii
Lineage: Eukaryota; Viridiplantae; Chlorophyta; Chlorophyceae; Chlamydomonadales; Chlamydomonadaceae
Description: small RNA Cre_2055
Source: RNAcentral